This 708-nucleotide ribosomal RNA is filed under the name uncultured bacterium. RNAcentral describes it as "bacterial SSU rRNA". It matches the Rfam family "Bacterial small subunit ribosomal RNA", at positions 68 to 748 of the family's 1533-position model. The record is from RNAcentral.
GCUUCUUUUUCACCGGAGCUUGCUCCACCGGAAAAAGAAGAGUGGCGAACGGGUGAGUAACACGUGGGUAACCUGCCCAUCAGAAGGGGAUAACACUUGGAAACAGGUGCUAAUACCGUAUAACAAUCGAAACCGCAUGGUUUUGAUUUGAAAGGCGCUUUCGGGUGUCGCUGAUGGAUGGACCCGCGGUGCAUUAGCUAGUUGGUGAGGUAACGGCUCACCAAGGCCACGAUGCAUAGCCGACCUGAGAGGGUGAUCGGCCACAUUGGGACUGAGACACGGCCCAAACUCCUACGGGAGGCAGCAGUAGGGAAUCUUCGGCAAUGGACGAAAGUCUGACCGAGCAACGCCGCGUGAGUGAAGAAGGUUUUCGGAUCGUAAAACUCUGUUGUUAGAGAAGAACAAGGAUGAGAGUAACUGUUCAUCCCUUGACGGUAUCUAACCAGAAAGCCACGGCUAACUACGUGCCAGCAGCCGCGGUAAUACGUAGGUGGCAAGCGUUGUCCGGAUUUAUUGGGCGUAAAGCGAGCGCAGGCGGUUUCUUAAGUCUGAUGUGAAAGCCCCCGGCUCAACCGGGGAGGGUCAUUGGAAACUGGGAGACUUGAGUGCAGAAGAGGAGAGUGGAAUUCCAUGUGUAGCGGUGAAAUGCGUAGAUAUAUGGAGGAACACCAGUGGCGAAGGCGGCUUUCUGGUCUGUAACUGACGCUG